AUAUGCCGCUUGGUGCGCACCAGACGUAGAGCGGCGGUCUCCAAGACCGCAGGUCGUUGGUUCGAAGCCAACCGCGUAUGCCA
Molecule: transfer RNA, 83 nt
Filed under: Bifidobacterium bifidum
Lineage: Bacteria; Bacillati; Actinomycetota; Actinomycetes; Bifidobacteriales; Bifidobacteriaceae
Description: tRNA-Trp
Source: RNAcentral